UUGCAGCUUGGAGAGCCUGUGUUCUGCGGCAGGCAGCCUCCGUUUCUUGAAGGAAAAAGGAAGGACAGACUUGCAGAGAGAGGUGAUUGAAUCAUGGAAGGUGGAGUAGUAUGCUGGUGUGUAUGUGUACCCCAUUUUUGAUGAUCUCUUGGUUUCUUGACCUGAACCAGUGAUUGGAUUUAACCAAGAUUGGUGAUUCUUGCGGGUUGCCAGAGCUGUGAUUUGAAGAUUUU
Molecule: unclassified non-coding RNA, 233 nt
Filed under: Hevea brasiliensis (rubber tree)
Lineage: Eukaryota; Viridiplantae; Streptophyta; Magnoliopsida; Malpighiales; Euphorbiaceae
Source: RNAcentral